UGCCAAAAGAAAUUGGGUGCAAAAUGG
This 27-nucleotide small RNA is filed under the name Bombyx mori (domestic silkworm). Its description in RNAcentral is "ovarian small RNA-8533". The record is from RNAcentral. Lineage: Eukaryota; Metazoa; Arthropoda; Insecta; Lepidoptera; Bombycidae.